AUUUAAAUAGUUUAAUAAAAAAUAUUAGUUUGUGGAACUAAAGAUACAAGAUUUUGUUUUAAAUU
RNAcentral lists this transfer RNA (65 nucleotides) under Coleoptera sp. 28 KM-2017. RNAcentral describes it as "tRNA-His". It matches the Rfam family "tRNA". Rfam says of the family: Transfer RNA (tRNA) molecules are approximately 80 nucleotides in length. Lineage: Eukaryota; Metazoa; Arthropoda; Insecta; Coleoptera. The record is from RNAcentral.